RNAcentral lists this long non-coding RNA (836 nucleotides) under Brassica rapa (field mustard). RNAcentral's name for it is "long non-coding RNA (BRAP_LNC003127)". Lineage: Eukaryota; Viridiplantae; Streptophyta; Magnoliopsida; Brassicales; Brassicaceae. The record is from RNAcentral.
GUACUGCGGUUAAAAAUUGGUACGUUUGCGGGUGACUUAUGACUGGUUAACUACCAAAUGCGAUAACAGUCAAAUAAUAAAUUAACAAUAUUUACAUUUAAUAUAAUUAUAAAAAUAUCAAAAAUCAUAAAAUUAUAACUUUCUAAAUAUAAAUUUUAUAUUUACAUAUAUAAAUUAACAAUAUUUACAUAUAUUUACAUUUUAUAAAUUAACAAUAUUUACAUAUAAUUAGAAAGUUAUAAUUUUAAUUUUUGAAAAUUUAUUGAAAUUGUUUUUAUUAUAAAAAUUUAUAAUAUUAAUUAAAAUAUAAUAGAUAUAUUUUAAUAUUUUCAUAAUUUCAAUUUUAAAUUUUUUAUUAAAUAUUUUUAUUUUUGUAUAUAUAUUGUUUUAAAAAAAAGAAAAAAAAUUUACCCUCCCGCAACCGCAAACGCUAGCUGGAGUCAGCUUUUGAAUUUAUGAGAUUCAGAGCGGUUUGAAGCGGUUUAGAGCGAUUUGAGUGAUUGUUGCAAACCGCCGACAACCGCUACCAACCGCAAAAGUUGUGUUUGCGGGUGGUAGCAGGAAAACCAGUCACCCCCUUAAUAACCAAGACCCCAAAUUAUAUCAGAAAUAAAAGAAAUAAAACUCUAUAAAACACUGUAUAAAUAUUACUUCAUUAUUGUUUGUUUUAACAACAUUCAAUACAUUGUGGAAAACAAAAUAUACCUAGUUAGUAACCAAGCACUCUUGUAAGAAGCUGGAGGAAAAGAGAUCAACAACAACAUUCAAUAUAUUCAGGGAAGCGAUGCUACUGUAAUUCAGAAACGAAACACAGCACAUGAGCAGUUAAUCAUAAA